UUUAUACUACAAAAUGGCGUAGAAUAGUGCAUAAGUAUGCGAUUUGGGACGCAGCUAAUGUCUCCGACACCACCUGUAGUCCCCUUUAGCAACUUGAUAGCAACCGUCUUUUUUAAAGAAGCGUAACCGAUUUAAAAAGUCAAGAGUGUGCUGUAGCUGAUGUGUUUUAUGUCGUAGAGUAAAACGUGAAAUUAUCUGCAGUUUGUGUUUGCCACAAACCUUAUUUAAGCGAUUUUACUGGAACCCCAUUCAAAAAACCCAUUAACUUUAGUACGAGGAAACCGGAACUGCUAAAAUGCUAACUCGCUUCCGGGUUUUUGCAUACAACUUGACGUCAUAGUUCCUACACUCUAUUGUUUUUCCAAUUGUGAAAGACAAAGGUUUUCAACUAUCUUCAAAAUAUCUUAUUUUGUAUUCAAUAGAAAAAAAAAGACAGCCAGGACUGAAAACAAGCAAAAGCUGAGCAAAUGAUGACAGAAAGUGUUCGGUUUGUGGUGAACUAUCCCUUAGAAUACUCUAGUCUAUGACUGUACUCACCGGUAGAGGGCGGUGUUGCUCCAAAAAGCGCGGGCUUUUUUUCCCCAUCUGAAGCUCAGAGAUGACAGAGACGUGUGUACCUCAGUCAACAAAAUGGCUCACAUCUCGAGUUCUCCAGAGAAACCAGCCAUGAGCCAUGAAUGUUCAUAUUACAGUCAUACAGGCUCUCUCCUCGUGCUGACACGAACGCCAAACACACGCGACGUAAACAACAACACAAUGUUUUAAUGGAGGAGUCCUGUAGGAUGAUGAAGACAACAACUCCCAUGAUUCCACACUCAGUCAUCCUGUAAUCAAACUACGUCUUUGUUGGUUGUGAAUACACCCUCUAGUGGACAGAAUGACAUACUGCGGCUUUAAGAAAUCAUGGAUGACUUGUGGGACUUUGAGCGUCUCAGGACCCUUGCUGUCUAUGGAGGAUGAGGGAGCUCUCAAAUUUACUCUAAAAUACCACCAUUUGUCCUGCGAAGAUCUCAGGAGUUUGGACAGAUAUGAGGGUGAGUCAGUAACAGAAUCUCAAUUUUUAGGUGAACUAAUUCUUUAACAGAUUAAAUAGCUUACACGUUAACAUUAAAAUUAAAAUAUUAAAAGGAUAUAAGAUGCUGAUGACCGUUAAACACAUCACAACUGUCUUGUUAAAAGGGUGCAUGAAUAUUAAUACAUAACAAGUGGAUCAUGUACUGUACAUCCAUAUCAUUAGAUUAGUCAUUAAUGUUACAUCCUCCCCGUCCUCUAGCCUUGCUCACUUCUCCUUGUCCACAUUCCUGUAGUCUCUCUGGGU
Molecule: non-coding RNA, 1318 nt
Organism: Danio rerio (zebrafish)
Lineage: Eukaryota; Metazoa; Chordata; Actinopteri; Cypriniformes; Danionidae
Source: RefSeq, a predicted model, not a curated record